GACGAACGCUGGCGGCGUGCUUAACACAUGCAAGUCGAACGGAAAGGCCCUGCUUUUGUGGGGUGCUCGAGUGGCGAACGGGUGAGUAACACGUGAGUAACCUGCCCUUGACUUUGGGAUAACUUCAGGAAACUGGGGCUAAUACCGGAUAGGAGCUCCUGCUGCAUGGUGGGGGUUGGAAAGUUUCGGCGGUUGGGGAUGGACUCGCGGCUUAUCAGCUUGUUGGUGGGGUAGUGGCUUACCAAGGCUUUGACGGGUAGCCGGCCUGAGAGGGUGACCGGCCACAUUGGGACUGAGAUACGGCCCAGACUCCUACGGGAGGCAGCAGUGGGGAAUAUUGCACAAUGGGCGGAAGCCUGAUGCAGCAACGCCGCGUGCGGGAUGACGGCCUUCGGGUUGUAAACCGCUUUCGCCUGUGACGAAGCGUGAGUGACGGUAAUGGGUAAAGAAGCACCGGCUAACUACGUGCCAGCAGCCGCGGUGAUACGUAGGGUGCGAGCGUUGUCCGGAUUUAUUGGGCGUAAAGGGCUCGUAGGUGGUUGAUCGCGUCGGAAGUGUAAUCUUGGGGCUUAACCCUGAGCGUGCUUUCGAUACGGGUUGACUUGAGGAAGGUAGGGGAGAAUGGAAUUCCUGGUGGAGCGGUGGAAUGCGCAGAUAUCAGGAGGAACACCAGUGGCGAAGGCGGUUCUCUGGGCCUUUCCUGACGCUGAGGAGCGAAAGCGUGGGGAGCGAACAGGCUUAGAUACCCUGGUAGUCCACGCUGUAAACGGUGGGUACUAGGUGUGGGGUCCAUUCCACGGGUUCCGUGCCGUAGCUAACGCUUUAAGUACCCCGCCUGGGGAGUACGGCCGCAAGGCUAAAACUCAAAGGAAUUGACGGGGCCCCGCACAAGCGGCGGAGCAUGCGGAUUAAUUCGAUGCAACGCGUAGAACCUUACCUGGGUUUGACAUGGAUCGGGAGUGCUCAGAGAUGGGUGUGCCUCUUUUGGGGUCGGUUCACAGGUGGUGCAUGGCUGUCGUCAGCUCGUGUCGUGAGAUGUUGGGUUAAGUCCCGCAACGAGCGCAACCCUUGUUCACUGUUGCCAGCACGUUAUGGUGGGGACUCAGUGGAGACCGCCGGGGUCAACUCGGAGGAAGGUGGGGAUGACGUCAAGUCAUCAUGCCCCUUAUGUCCAGGGCUUCACGCAUGCUACAAUGGCUGGUACAGAGAGUGGCGAGCCUGUGAGGGUGAGCGAGUCUCGGAAAGCCGGUCUCAGUUCGGAUUGGGGUCUGCAACUCGACCUCAUGAAGUCGGAGUCGCUAGUAAUCGCAGAACAGCAACGCUGCGGUGAAUACGUUCCCGGG
Molecule: ribosomal RNA, 1343 nt
Filed under: uncultured bacterium
Lineage: Bacteria
Description: 16S ribosomal RNA
Rfam family: Bacterial small subunit ribosomal RNA
Source: RNAcentral